Molecule: ribosomal RNA, 858 nt
Filed under: uncultured archaeon
Lineage: Archaea
Description: bacterial SSU rRNA
Rfam family: Archaeal small subunit ribosomal RNA
Source: RNAcentral
UUCUGGUUGAUCCUGCCGGACCUUACUGCUAUCGGGGUGGGACUAAGACAUGCGAGUCAAGCGUCUCUAGCUAUGUUGAGACGCGGCAUACGGCUCAGUAACACGUGGCUAACCUACCCUCAGGACAGGGACAACCCCGGGAAACUGGGGCUAAUACCUGAUAGGUGAGGAUGCCUGGAAUGGUUUCUCACUCAAAGGGCUUUGGGAACAUGCUUCCAUUGUCGCCUGGGGAUGGGACCGCGACCGAUCAGGUUGUUGGUUGAGGUAACGGCUCACCAAGCCUUUAACCGGUACGGGCCGUGAGAGCGGUAGCCCGGAGAUGGGUACUGAGACAAGGACCCAGGCCCUACGGGGCGCAGCAGUCGCGAAAACUCCGCAAUGCACGAAAGUGUGACGGGGCUACCCCGAGUGCCGUCCGCUGAGGAUGGCUUUUCCCUGGUUUAACUAGCCAGGGGAAUAAGGAGAGGGCAAGACUGGUGUCAGCCGCCGCGGUAAUACCAGCUCUCCGAGUGGUAGGGAUGAUUAUUGGGCUUAAAGCGUCCGUAGCCGGCUUAGCAAGUCUCCUGUUAAAUUCAGCGACCUAAUCGUUGAGCCGCGGGAGAUACUACUAGGCUAGGAGGCGGGAGAGGUCGACGGUACUUCUGGGGUAGGGGUGAAAUCCUAUAAUCCCGGGAGGACCACCAGUGGCGAAGGCUGUUGACUAGAACGCGCUCGACGGUGAGGGACGAAAGCUGGGGGAGCAAACCGGAUUAGAUACCCGGGUAGUCCCAGCUGUAAACGAUGCGGGCUAGGUGUUGGGGUGGCUACGUGCCACUUCAGUGCCGCAGGGAAGCCAUUAAGCCCGCCGCCUGGGGAGUA